GACGAACGCUGGCGGCGUGCUUAACACAUGCAAGUCGAACGGAAAGGCCCUGCUUGCAGGGUACUCGAGUGGCGAACGGGUGAGUAACACGUGGGUGAUCUGCCCUGCACUUCGGGAUAAGCCUGGGAAACUGGGUCUAAUACCGGAUAGGAGCCAUUUUUAGUGUGAUGGUUGGAAAGUUUUUUUCGGUGUAGGAUGAGCUCGCGGCCUAUCAGCUUGUUGGUGGGGUAAUGGCCUACCAAGGCGGCGACGGGUAGCCGGCCUGAGAGGGUGGACGGCCACAUUGGGACUGAGAUGCGGCCCAGACACCUACGGGAGGCAGCAGUGGGGAAUAUUGCACAAUGGGCGCAAGCCUGAUGCAGCGACGCCGCGUGGGGGAUGACGGCCUUCGGGUUGUAAACUCCUUUCGCUAGGGACGAAGCUUUUUGUGACGGUACCUAGAUAAGAAGCACCGGCUAACUACGUG
RNAcentral lists this ribosomal RNA (466 nucleotides) under uncultured bacterium. RNAcentral's name for it is "partial 16S ribosomal RNA". It matches the Rfam family "Bacterial small subunit ribosomal RNA", at positions 28 to 507 of the family's 1533-position model. The record is from RNAcentral.